This 253-nucleotide ribosomal RNA is filed under the name uncultured bacterium. RNAcentral describes it as "partial 16S ribosomal RNA". It matches the Rfam family "Bacterial small subunit ribosomal RNA", at positions 524 to 776 of the family's 1533-position model. The record is from RNAcentral.
UACGGAGGGUGCGAGCGUUAAUCGGAAUUACUGGGCGUAAAGAGUGCGUAGGUGGUUGAAUAAGUUAUCUGUGAAAUCCCUGGGCUUAACCUGGGCAGGUCAGAUGAUACUGUUUGACUCGAGUAUGGGAGAGGGUAGUGGAAUUUCCGGUGUAGCGGUGAAAUGCGUAGAGAUCGGAAGGAACACCAGUGGCGAAGGCGGCUACCUGGCCUAAUACUGACACUGAGGCACGAAAGCGUGGGGAGCAAACAGG